AUUCAUCCUAAGAGAUUUAUUAGAGAGCAAAAAUAUUAGUAAGGGGAGAAAUGAAUAGUCAAAUGGAGCACUUUCAACCAAAAAAACCUAGCUCCAAUGUCUCUCUAACAAAGCAUGAACUUGUCAUCUCCACCGUCGUAAGAGAUGUUGAAGUAUACACUGAGAGCACAACGCGAGAAUUGAAAGCCAAACCUCCAACACCAGCUAUCAAAGCAGGAAGAAAUGGCCAACAUCACAGCUCUCAAGCUUGACAAACUUCUGUUGCAUGCAUUAUGAAUAUUCCAACUACAAAUAUUUCUGUCCAAAAAAAAAAAAACACC
Molecule: long non-coding RNA, 320 nt
Organism: Chenopodium quinoa (quinoa)
Lineage: Eukaryota; Viridiplantae; Streptophyta; Magnoliopsida; Caryophyllales; Amaranthaceae
Exons: 2
Source: RefSeq, a predicted model, not a curated record